Molecule: ribosomal RNA, 561 nt
Filed under: Salmonella enterica subsp. enterica serovar Enteritidis
Lineage: Bacteria; Pseudomonadati; Pseudomonadota; Gammaproteobacteria; Enterobacterales; Enterobacteriaceae
Description: partial 23S ribosomal RNA
Rfam family: Bacterial large subunit ribosomal RNA
Source: RNAcentral
GGGAAACCGAGUCUUAACCGGGCGUUAAGUUGCAGGGUAUAGACCCGAAACCCGGUGAUCUAGCCAUGGGCAGGUUGAAGGUUGGGUAACACUAACUGGAGGACCGAACCGACUAAUGUUGAAAAAUUAGCGGAUGACCUGUGGCUGGGGGUGAAAGGCCAAUCAAACCGGGAGAUAGCUGGUUCUCCCCGAAAGCUAUUUAGGUAGCGCCUCGUGAAUUCAUCUCCGGGGGUAGAGCACUGUUUCGGCUAGGGGGCCAUCCCGGCUUACCAACCCGAUGCAAACUGCGAAUACCGGAGAAUGUUAUCACGGGAGACACACGGCGGGUGCUAACGUCCGUCGUGAAGAGGGAAACAACCCAGACCGCCAGCUAAGGUCCCAAAGUCAUGGUUAAGUGGGAAACGAUGUGGGAAGGCCCAGACAGCCAGGAUGUUGGCUUAGAAGCAGCCAUCAUUUAAAGAAAGCGUAAUAGCUCACUGGUCGAGUCGGCCUGCGCGGAAGAUGUAACGGGGCUAAACCAUGCACCGAAGCUGCGGCAGCGACACUGUGUGUUGUUGGGUA